RNAcentral lists this ribosomal RNA (531 nucleotides) under uncultured bacterium. RNAcentral's name for it is "partial 16S ribosomal RNA". It matches the Rfam family "Bacterial small subunit ribosomal RNA", at positions 355 to 900 of the family's 1533-position model. The record is from RNAcentral.
UGGGGAAUAUUGCACAAUGGGCGAAAGCCUGAUGCAGCAACGCCGCGUGAGUGAUGAAGGCCUUCGGGUUGUAAAGCUCUGUCUUUUGGGACGAUAAUGACGGUACCAAAGGAGGAAGCCACGGCUAACUACGUGCCAGCAGCCGCGGUAAUACGUAGGUGGCAAGCGUUGUCCGGAUUUACUGGGCGUAAAGGAUGCGUAGGCGGAUUUUUAAGUGAGAUGUGAAAACCCUAAGCUUAACUUGGGGACUGCAUUUCAUACUGGAAAUCUAGAGUGCGGGAGAGGAGAAUGGAAUUCCUAGUGUAGCGGUGAAAUGCGUAGAGAUUAGGAAGAACACCAGUGGCGAAGGCGAUUCUCUGGACCGUAACUGACGCUGAGGCAUGAAAGCGUGGGUAGCAAAACAGGAUUAGAUACCCUGGUAGUCCACGCCGUAAACGAUGAGUACUAGGUGUAGGAGGUAUCGACCCCUUCUGUGCCGCAGUUAACACAAUAAGUACUCCGCCUGGGAAGUACGAUCGCAAGAUUAAAAAC